This 278-nucleotide unclassified non-coding RNA is filed under the name air metagenome. RNAcentral's name for it is "partial contains small subunit ribosomal RNA, internal transcribed spacer 1, and 5.8S ribosomal RNA". The stretch from base 1 to 46 matches the Rfam family "Eukaryotic small subunit ribosomal RNA", at positions 1786 to 1831 of the family's 1831-position model. The record is from RNAcentral.
AAGUCGUAACAAGGUUUCCGUAGGUGAACCUGCGGAAGGAUCAUUAACGUAUCUCUGGCGGGUGCGGGCGCGCCCUGCUCCGGACUCGUUCCGUGCAGCGGGCGUCCCGUCCCGUCCAACCCCUCACAAACCCACCGUGAACCUUUUGCGGCGGAGGUCGUCCGGCGAGAGCUGGGUGGCCGAGGCCGAAUAACCAAACCCCAAGUUAAAUGAAAUGAUCUGUGGCCUUGCGUCACCUAAAUUUGUAACAACUUUCAACAACGGAUCUCUUGGCUCUC